RNAcentral lists this transfer RNA (50 nucleotides) under Mammuthus primigenius (woolly mammoth). Its description in RNAcentral is "partial tRNA-Trp". Lineage: Eukaryota; Metazoa; Chordata; Mammalia; Proboscidea; Elephantidae. The record is from RNAcentral.
AGACCAAGAGCCUUCAAAGCCCUAAGUAAGUGCAUUAUACUUAACUCCUG